GAGAUAGAGCUUCCCCUUCGGGGGCAAAGUGACAGGUGGUGCAUGGUUGUCGUCAGCUCGUGUCGUGAGAUGUUGGGUUAAGUCCCGCAACGAGCGCAACCCUUAUUGUUAGUUGCCAUCAUUUAGUUGGGCACUCUAGCGAGACUGCCGGUGACAAACCGGAGGAAGGUGGGGAUGACGUCAAAUCAUCAUGCCCCUUAUGACCUGGGCUACACACGUGCUACAAUGGGAAGUACAACGAGUUGCGAAGUCGCGAGGCUAAGCUAAUCUCUUAAAGCUUCUCUCAGUUCGGAUUGUAGGCUGCAACUCGCCUACAUGAAGCCGGAAUCGCUAGUAAUCGCGGAUCAGCACGCCGCGGUGAAUACGUUCCCGGGCCUUGUACACACCGCCCGUCACACCACGAGAGUUUGUAACACCCGAAGUCGGUGAGGUAACCUUUUUGGAGCCAGCCGCCUAAGGUGGGAUAGAUGAUUGGGGUGAAGUCGUAACAAGGUAGCCGUAUCGGAAGG
RNAcentral lists this ribosomal RNA (509 nucleotides) under Listeria monocytogenes. RNAcentral's name for it is "bacterial SSU rRNA". It matches the Rfam family "Bacterial small subunit ribosomal RNA", at positions 1003 to 1512 of the family's 1533-position model. The record is from RNAcentral. Lineage: Bacteria; Bacillati; Bacillota; Bacilli; Caryophanales; Listeriaceae.